UAUAUAUAAGUGUAUUUUGCACUUAAAUUUUUGAAAUUUAAAGAAAUAAAUAAUAUUUAUUAUAUAUAU
This 69-nucleotide transfer RNA is filed under the name Pseudoligosita yasumatsui. RNAcentral describes it as "tRNA-Gln". Lineage: Eukaryota; Metazoa; Arthropoda; Insecta; Hymenoptera; Trichogrammatidae. The record is from RNAcentral.